UUAAUACUCCCUCCGUCCGGAAAUACUCGUCGGAGGAAUUGAUGUAUCUAGAUGUAUUUUAGUUCUAGAUACAUUCAUUUUUCUGCAUUUUCCCGACAAGUAUUUUCGGACGGAGGGAGUAUCUU
Molecule: non-coding RNA, 125 nt
Organism: Triticum aestivum (bread wheat)
Lineage: Eukaryota; Viridiplantae; Streptophyta; Magnoliopsida; Poales; Poaceae
Source: Rfam